GAUGAACGCUGGCGGCGUGCCUAAUACAUGCAAGUCGAGCGAACAGACGAGGAGCUUGCUCCUCUGACGUUAGCGGCGGACGGGUGAGUAACACGUGGAUAACCUACCUAUAAGACUGGGAUAACUUCGGGAAACCGGAGCUAAUACCGGAUAAUAUUUUGAACCGCAUGGUUCAAUAGUGAAAGACGGUUUUGCUGUCACUUAUAGAUGGAUCCGCGCUGCAUUAGCUAGUUGGUAAGGUAACGGCUUACCAAGGCAACGAUGCGUAGCCGACCUGAGAGGGUGAUCGGCCACACUGGAACUGAGACACGGUCCAGACUCCUACGGGAGGCAGCAGUAGGGAAUCUUCCGCAAUGGGCGAAAGCCUGACGGAGCAACGCCGCGUGAGUGAUGAAGGUCUUCGGAUCGUAAAACUCUGUUAUUAGGGAAGAACAAAUGUGUAAGUAACUGUGCACAUCUUGACGGUACCUAAUCAGAAAGCCACGGCUAACUACGUG
RNAcentral lists this ribosomal RNA (497 nucleotides) under uncultured bacterium. Its description in RNAcentral is "partial 16S ribosomal RNA". It matches the Rfam family "Bacterial small subunit ribosomal RNA", at positions 28 to 507 of the family's 1533-position model. The record is from RNAcentral.